UUUUUUUUUUUUUUUUUUUUUUUUUUUUUUAGUAUUUUUACUUCUUAGAUCUACCUUCCAAUUGCAGGCUAUUCAACUGCAGCAUCCCUAGGUGUUUCACAAAACCUGCUUUUCACCUCUGGCCCACUUAGAAACUCAGUUCCCUCCCUUUCCUGACAAAGUUCAAUUUAUGUAACCAUUGAUACUCAGCCCAGAAUGUCCAUUUUAUAACUGAUCUUUCUGGAUGGUUAUGGUUAAAUUUACAACCAGGUGCUUACUAUAUAUUUCUCUGUCUCAGUAGUAUUUGCCUGGCCUUUUAAAAUGUAAAGUUUUUCGUAUGUGUGUGUGGUAGGGGUGGGAGGGAUUAUGUCUUCCUAGAGUCCAUUGAUGAUUUACGUGAAAUAACUUAAAAAUUAAAAAAAUCUAUGAACUUUCCUAUGAUUUUUGUCUCUGACACCAUCUUACAAGACCAAUUCUACAAUAGCAACAUAUUUUUCAUUUAGGAGAUUAAAACUUUUAAACAUCAUGUCACCUGAGUUGCUUUUCAAAGAUAAUAUGAUAUACCAUAAAUAAAAUAAGAUUAUUAUUUUGCAUAUUUCCAAGUUCCCUAUUAUAAUUACUGGAAAAGUAACUAUUUUAAUUACUGUACAAAUGUCUUUGCAAACACUUUCUUGGAAAAUAGAGUUUUCUAGCAAGACUAUAAAUUUCAAUCAUACUUGGAGGAGGAAUGAAGACUUAUUUAGUUAAUAAAUCUGCAUGCAUCACAUGUAGCAGUUUGUUUUCUUUUACCAUCAACAUGCAAUUCAUUUUUUUUACUGCCUGGAAGUUAUUGACAAUUUUAAAGACAUUUUGCCCAGGUGUAAGCAAUCAGAAUUUACUACAGACUGUGAAUCAAGGAAAUACACAUAAAUUAAAUGUAAUGCAACUAAGUCAUGGAGCUUAAAUCUGAAUAAACAGAUAUUGAUCGAGUAUUCUGAUGGCAUCUACAAGUACAAUUCUAGAUGUAAAAAUUAAUAAUAUAUAAUGUUUCAAAAUGCCUUUUAAAAUUGUCCGUUAUAAAAUUGAAUUACCUUGGUACAUUUACUGAAGUAUUGCCUGUGUCCUUAUUAAUAAAAAAAAUUGUGUUUUAUUUUCCCAAAUGAAAUACAUAGUAAUCAUUCUCACUCAUAAGAGUUAUUUUCUUUAUGAGUAAUUAUAUCCAUGUUUGUCUUGUCUUUUAAAACAAUGUUGAAUAAAACAUUGAGUUAAUAUAAA
RNAcentral lists this long non-coding RNA (1233 nucleotides) under Homo sapiens (human). RNAcentral's name for it is "DPP10 antisense RNA 1". The record is from RNAcentral. Lineage: Eukaryota; Metazoa; Chordata; Mammalia; Primates; Hominidae.